GAGUUUGAUCAUGGCUCAGAAUCAACGCUGGCGGCGUGCCUAACACAUGCAAGUCGCACGAGAAAGAGGGGGCAACUCCUUGAGUAAAGUGGCGUACGGGUGAGUAACACGUGACUAACCUACCUCCGAAUGGGGAAUAACCUCGGGAAACCGGGGCUAAUACCGCAUAACAUCUACGGAUCAAAGCAGCAAUGCGUUUGGAGAGGGGGUCGCGGCUGAUUAGCUAGUUGGUGGGGUAAUGGCCCACCAAGGCUACGAUCAGUAUCCGGCCUGAGAGGGCGCACGGACACACUGGAACUGAAACACGGUCCAGACUCCUACGGGAGGCAGCAGUGGGGAAUUUUGCGCAAUGGGGGAAACCCUGACGCAGCAACGCCGCGUGGAGGAUGAAGGUCUUUGGAUUGUAAACUCCUUUCGAUCGGGACGAUUAUGACGGUACCGGAAGAAGAAGCACCGGCUAACUCUGUGCCAGCAGCCGCGGUAAUACAGNAGGGUGCAAGCGUUGUUCGGAAUUAUG
This 517-nucleotide ribosomal RNA is filed under the name uncultured eubacterium WD214. Its description in RNAcentral is "bacterial SSU rRNA". It matches the Rfam family "Bacterial small subunit ribosomal RNA", at positions 9 to 555 of the family's 1533-position model. The record is from RNAcentral.